GGCAGUGGUGGCUUGGCGGUUAAGGCUCUGGGUUGCUGUUCAGAGGGUCGGGGGUUCAAAUCCCAGCACUGCCA
Molecule: non-coding RNA, 74 nt
Organism: Ameiurus melas (black bullhead)
Lineage: Eukaryota; Metazoa; Chordata; Actinopteri; Siluriformes; Ictaluridae
Source: the annotation of a GenBank genome assembly